This 489-nucleotide unclassified non-coding RNA is filed under the name Borreliella burgdorferi (Lyme disease spirochete). Its description in RNAcentral is "partial 16S-23S ribosomal RNA intergenic spacer". The stretch from base 126 to 199 matches the Rfam family "tRNA". Lineage: Bacteria; Pseudomonadati; Spirochaetota; Spirochaetia; Spirochaetales; Borreliaceae. The record is from RNAcentral.
UCUUUUCUUUUGAUAAGAGAGUUUUUAAAACCAGUGUUAUUUAUGUAAGUUUAAGAGAAGUUUAUGUAUUAAAUUAUUGAUAUUAAAUAGUUUUAUUAGGCUUAGACUUAAUUCUAGGUCAUUUUGGGGGUUUAGCUCAGUUGGCUAGAGCAUCGGCUUUGCAAGCCGAGGGUCAAGGGUUCGAGUCCCUUAACCUCCAUUGGGCUUAUGCCCUAAAUUGUAAUUAAGUAUGUUUUUAAGUAACUUUGUUAAAGUAAUUGUUGGAAUGUGAAACACAAGAAGUUAAAAUUUCUGGGUUAAGUUGAGAUCUGUUGAUAUUAAGAAAAAUGUCUAGAAGCAAAAGCAAGCUUUCGAUAAAACCCGAAGUUGUUUCGCUAAAGUGCAAGGAUUAAACAGGAUUGUAUUUUUCAGCAGCCUAUUUUAUAAACGAUCUGCAUUUAGUAAAUAGUUUUUAGUUAGGAAAUAAUGUAAGUUACUAAGUGUGAUGUC